AUUGAACGCUGGCGGCAGGCCUAACACAUGCAAGUCGAACGGUAACAGGGAUCAGCUUGCUGAUUCGCUGACGAGUGGCGGACGGGUGAGUAAUGUCUGGGAAACUGCCUGAUGGAGGGGGAUAACUACUGGAAACGGUAGCUAAUACCGCAUAACGUCGCAAGACCAAAGAGGGGGACCUUCGGGCCUCUUGCCAUCGGAUGUGCCCAGAUGGGAUUAGCUAGUAGGUGGGGUAACGGCUCACCUAGGCGACGAUCCCUAGCUGGUCUGAGAGGAUGACCAGCCACACUGGAACUGAGACACGGUCCAGACUCCUACGGGAGGCAGCAGUGGGGAAUAUUGCACAGUGGGCGCAAGCCUGAUGCAGCCAUGCCGCGUGUAUGAAGAAGGCCUUCGGGUUGUAAAGUACUUUCAGCGGGGAGGAAGGGAGUAAAGUUAAGACCUUUGCUCAUUGACGUUACCCGCAGAAGAAGCACCGGCUAACUCCGU
RNAcentral lists this ribosomal RNA (489 nucleotides) under uncultured bacterium. Its description in RNAcentral is "partial 16S ribosomal RNA". It matches the Rfam family "Bacterial small subunit ribosomal RNA", at positions 30 to 506 of the family's 1533-position model. The record is from RNAcentral.